RNAcentral lists this ribosomal RNA (253 nucleotides) under uncultured bacterium. RNAcentral describes it as "partial 16S ribosomal RNA". It matches the Rfam family "Bacterial small subunit ribosomal RNA", at positions 524 to 776 of the family's 1533-position model. The record is from RNAcentral.
UACAGAGGUCCCAAGCGUUGUUCGGAUUCACUGGGCGUAAAGGGUGCGUAGGCGGUCGGGUAAGUCUGGCGUGAAAUCUCCAAGCCUAACUUGGAAACUGCGUUGGAUACUAUCCGGCUCGAGGAAUGGAGGGGAGACUGGAAUACUUGGUGUAGCAGUGAAAUGCGUAGAUAUCAAGUGGAACACCAGUGGCGAAGGCGAGUCUCUGGACAUUUCCUGACGCUCAGGCACGAAAGCCAGGGGAGCGAACGGG